Molecule: ribosomal RNA, 275 nt
Filed under: uncultured Ascomycota
Lineage: Eukaryota; Fungi; Ascomycota
Description: partial 18S ribosomal RNA
Rfam family: Eukaryotic small subunit ribosomal RNA
Source: RNAcentral
UUGGAGGGCAAGUCUGGUGCCAGCAGCCGCGGUAAUUCCAGCUCCAAUAGCGUAUAUUAAAGUUGUUGAGGUUAAAAAGCUCGUAGUUGAACCUUGGGCCUAGCCGGCCGGUCCGCCUCACCGCGUGCACUGGCUCGGCUGGGUCUUUCCUUCUGGAGAACCGCAUGCCCUUCACUGGGUGUGCCGGGGAACCAGGACUUUUACUCUGAACAAAUUAGAUCGCUUAAAGAAGGCCUAUGCUCGAAUACAUUAACAUGGAAUAAUAGAAUAGGACG